This 548-nucleotide ribosomal RNA is filed under the name Priestia endophytica. Its description in RNAcentral is "bacterial SSU rRNA". It matches the Rfam family "Bacterial small subunit ribosomal RNA", at positions 509 to 1049 of the family's 1533-position model. Lineage: Bacteria; Bacillati; Bacillota; Bacilli; Caryophanales; Bacillaceae. The record is from RNAcentral.
CAGCAGCCGCGGUAAUACGUAGGUGGCAAGCGUUGUCCGGAAUUAUUGGGCGUAAAGCGCGCGCGGGCGGUUCUUUAAGUCUGGUUGGUAAGACCAGGGCUUCAACCUGGUGGGGCAGUGGAAACUGGGGAUCCUGAGAGCAGAAGAGGAGAGCGGAAUUCCACGUGUCGCGGUGAAAGGAAUUGAGAUGUGGAGUUACACCCGAGGCGAAGGCGGCUCUUUGGGCUGUUACUGACGCUGAGGCGCUAAAGCGUGGAAAGCUAACAGACUUAGAUACCCUGGUGGUUCCCGCCGUUAUUUAUAAAUGCUAAGUGUUAGUGGGUUUUAAUACCGCUUAUUUUGUGCCGAAGUUAACACAUUAAGCAUUCCGCGUGGGGACUAUGGGCGCAAUACUGAAACUCAGAGGAAUUGUUGGGGGCCCACACAAGCGGUGGAGAAUGUGGUUUAAUUCGAAGCAACGCAAAGAACCUUACCAAGUCUUGACAUCCUUCGAAAACUCCAAAAAAAAAAGGCUCCCUUCGGGAGGAAGGAGAGAUGUGGGGCGUGGG